AAGUCGUAACAAGGUUUCCGUAGGUGAACCUGCGGAAGGAUCAUUAACACGUAUCCAACGUUAAACCCCCCCACGUGAACAUUAACCCGUCGACUCGCCCACCCGCUUAUCAGCAAACCCUAGUAAAUCAUCGCCACCAGUUUUGAUUUAGGGUUUCGCAGUACGCCGGUGUGGUUUGUAGCGACUUUUACGUUCUCAGCUUCUCCGGGGCCUGCAUAUGGAUGGCGAAAGUGCCAUAUGCAACGUCGACGAGAGGGACUAAGGUCGCACUAGAGGACGACACGUCCGGUGCCUAGAACAGGGCAUACGAGCCCCCCUUUUAACCCAGUCUCGAGUCGGGCGUACGGUAACUCGUUAGCCCACCAAACGAACAACUGUUAACAAUGGAUAUCUUGGUUCUC
Molecule: unclassified non-coding RNA, 401 nt
Filed under: fungal sp.
Lineage: Eukaryota; Fungi
Description: partial internal transcribed spacer region
Rfam family: Eukaryotic small subunit ribosomal RNA (bases 1-46)
Source: RNAcentral